RNAcentral lists this ribosomal RNA (363 nucleotides) under uncultured bacterium. Its description in RNAcentral is "partial 16S ribosomal RNA". It matches the Rfam family "Bacterial small subunit ribosomal RNA", at positions 338 to 698 of the family's 1533-position model. The record is from RNAcentral.
CCUACGGGAGGCAGCAGUGAGGAAUAUUGGUCAAUGGACGAAAGUCUGAACCAGCCAUGCCGCGUGAAGGAAGACGGCUCUACGAGUUGUAAACCGCUUUUGUCCGAGGGUAAACGCAGAUACGCGUAUCUCUUUGAAAGUACCGGACGAAAAAGGAUCGGCUAACUCCGUGCCAGCAGCCGCGGUAAUACGGAGGAUUCAAGCGUUAUCCGGAUUUAUUGGGUUUAAAGGGUGCGUAGGCGGUCGGAUAAGUUAGCGGGGAAAUCCCGAGGCUCAACUUCGGGAUGGCCUCUGAUACUGGUAGGCUAGAGUGGAGGAGAGGUAGGCGGAAUGUGUGGUGUAGCGGUGAAAUGCAUAGAUAUC